This 138-nucleotide ribosomal RNA is filed under the name uncultured eukaryote. RNAcentral describes it as "partial 18S ribosomal RNA". It matches the Rfam family "Eukaryotic small subunit ribosomal RNA", at positions 1299 to 1458 of the family's 1831-position model. The record is from RNAcentral.
UGGUGGAGUGAUUUGUCUGGUUAAUUCCGUUAACGAACGAGACCUUAGCCUGCUAACUAGUCGCGGCGAUCUCGAUCGUCGUCGGCUUCUUAGAAGGACUUUGUGGCACUAAACACAAGGAAGUUUGAGGCAAUAACA